AAACCAGCACCUCAAGUGGUCAGGAUGAUUAUUGGGCCUAAAGCAUCCGUAGCCUGCUCUGUAAGUUUUCGGUUAAAUCUGUACGCUCAACGUACAGGCUGCCGGGAAUACUGCAGAGCUAGGGAGUGGGAGAGGUAGACGGUACUCGGGAGGAAGGGGUAAAAUCCUUUGAUCUCUCGAUGACCACCUGUGGCGAAGGCGGUCUACCAGAACACGUUCGACGGUGAGGGAUGAAAGCUGGGGGAGCAAACCGGAUUAGAAACCCGAGUAGUCC
Molecule: ribosomal RNA, 274 nt
Filed under: uncultured bacterium
Lineage: Bacteria
Description: partial 16S ribosomal RNA
Rfam family: Archaeal small subunit ribosomal RNA
Source: RNAcentral